UCCUCCUGAGCAGCCAUGCUAAGCGCUGCCCGACUGUGAGGCCUGAAUGUGGGCUCAGCCCCAGUCUGGCCUCCCCUCCUCUCCCUGGAAGUCAGUUAGUAUACCAGGGGCACGAAAAACAAAAAAAAUUGAAAGUAUUG
Long non-coding RNA from Sander lucioperca (pikeperch), 140 nucleotides. RefSeq lists it as uncharacterized. The record is from RefSeq and is a predicted model, not a curated record. NCBI's taxonomy places the organism in Eukaryota, Metazoa, Chordata, Actinopteri, Perciformes, Percidae. The transcript is spliced from 3 exons.